ACCCGUAGCUCUCGUCUCUCUUCUACUCCUCUCUCGUCUUAGACACAUCGCGACACAAGUCACACCACCCGUAGCUCUCUUCUACUCUUCUCUCGAGUCUCGAUAUCGCUGGCUCCUCGACAAGUCAUCUCUUCUCCACAAGUUGGCUUCUGUUCGACAUCGCUGUCUCCUCGACAGACUUCAAUCGACAUGGAUAGCUUCAAUUAGGCACUCAAACUCAUUUGCUGGCUCUUCGACAUCGAUUUGGUUGACAGUUUGACACUCUCUUCGACGGACUUCUCACAUCACUCAAACUCAAAAGGUUCUGAUGAAGGGAUUUAUGCUUGGGUUGUUGCAAAUUAUUGCCUUGGCACUCUUGGGCAGGAUCCUCAUCAAACAACCGGGAUUAUUGAACUUGGUGGGGCCUCUGCUCAGGUUCAAUUUCCUUUUCCCUUUUUGUUGGUGGAUUGUAUUUGUGAAAAAUGUGGAUCAUAUUACAUGAGACAUGGACAUGGACCAGUGUAACAUAUUCUGGUAGGAUGCAUAUCUGGAAUAAAUUAUUGGCCUAAACUUUUGUACAGCAAUUUCUCAUGGAACAUAUGGAAGAUCUCCAAGGAUACUCAAUUUUGGAGAACGACAUUGUUCAUUCUGCACUUAGAAUAGUCGGAGCUCUAUGUUUCACUUCUUCCUGAAGUAGAUGAACACCAUCUCAAGAUAUUGGAUGCUGUUAAAAGCAGUCUACUGGGUGGAGUGCUUUUUAAUUGGUGCUUUCACCUUGAGAACCAGUUAAAGAGCUAAAGUUUUGCAUGCUGAUAGAAAUGUGGUGACCUUCAUUUCAAGUGAGCCAGUGCCCCCUGAAUUCUCUCAUAUAGUUAAAUAUGGGAAUAUCACUUACAAUCUCUACAGUCACAGCUUGCUUCAUUUUGGUCAGGAAAAUGGUCAUUAACUAGUGUUAGUCCUAUCUAUGAUGGAUGAUAGAAGGGUAGCCUGGACACAAACCCUUCCUUCAGUAUAAACUUGCUCAGUUCGACAAUUCGCAGGUCUUAAUUCAGCUUCUUGCUCUUGGAAGUACCAUUGCUUCAAGCAAUAGUGCACAACAAGUAGGGCUGCAAAUGAGUAUAGCCAAGCCGUGCUUACCUUGUUCGGGCUCGGCUUGAGCUUGGGCGAGCUUUGUUCAAGCCAAGCUCAAGUUCGGCUCGUCAAAAUUUUGGCAAGCUCGGGCUUGGCUCAAGCUCACCUACAUAUUUAACAACAUACAAAAAAAAAUAUUGAUAAAUAAAAUAAAAAAUCGAAGAGAUUCAGAUUUGUACAGUAAUGUAUUCGAAGAAGGAAGAAAAUCGUUGUCCUCCCUUUCGCUAACCUCCCAUUUCCGAUCAUCUUCCUCAAGAAGACAACGGCGAGUCGGUGAUAAUGAUUCUAUCAACACUGAUUAGGAGUCUUCACCCAGGAAGUUUGACCGUCAUACAAGUCUAUAAAUCAAGAUAAACUCCAAGUGUCUUGGAUAAAGAUGAGCAUACGUUCCUUGGAUAAAGAUGAGCAUACGUUCCCCCUCCAUGUUGGAAAAGUAAGAGGUGUAACACUCCUAUUUUAAUGCAACUUGACACCUCUAUAAAGGGGGCUUUCGGGUCAAUAGAAAAGGUACGACACAAGUCCCUAGGCCGGUACUACACCGGUGCCCUCCCGAUCAUCCUUUUUCUUCUUUUUUUCCCACAGACGGUACUAACUGUUGAUGUAGGAUUCCGCAGCAACCUGAAGCGACGUCGUACUUAGAAAAGAAAGGAGAAAAUGGAUGAUCGGGAGGGCACCAGUGUGGUAUUGGGCUAAGAGCCUCCAACGAUCAAGUUAGUACUAGAUCGGCCGGUACCACAGACUGCACCAACUGUUGAUGCAGGAUUCCACGGCGACCUGAAUCGACGUCGUACCUGGCUAACCGUUUAUAGGUUGAUUCAUGGAUCUAAAAAUGAUCCAAAGUCAUUUUUGAUGAAUAAAGAAGGGUAGUAUAUGAAGAUUUCAGGUCCAAAAUUGUCAAUUUAUCAUCACUAUCCUCAAAUGGGAGGGGUAUCUGCAUAUAUAUAUUUUUAAUAGUAUAAGGGGUUUUGUAUAAAAACAAAAGUUUAGGGAAGUUUUCUACAAAAUCAUGAAAGUUGAGGGCUUUUUUUUUUUUUUUUUUUUUUUUUUCAGUUUACCCUAUUAUUAUUAUUAUUAUUAUUUAACAAGUGAAUUCCUAUUUUAUCUUCUUUUUCUCUUUUGUUAUUUUUUUUCCCUUCACUUUCCCUUUGUUACCAAAAUAUGAUCUAUAACCCCCUUUUAUUGGAAAUCAUUGCUGCUUGUUUACUACUAGAUUAGAUCAUCCAACUCUUAACCAUCAACCAUGCCAUUUAUACUUUGUACAUGAAAUUGCAAUCAACUUUUAUCUAUGUAAAGAAUAUUUUCUUGAAAAUUAAGGACUGGAUUUAAACUACACAAACUGAAAUGGAACAAUGGCUGAGUCCACUGAGUUGUAUCUUGGCCAAUUUGUGUCUCCAUUUAAGCAGUGUUUGGAGUUAAGGACACAACUUUUUCCCCAGGUGAGCUUCAAAGGAAAACAAAGCACGUUACAAUCCCAAGGGGUGGUUUGCCAGUGGCAAGGUCACUUGGCCCUGGUGCCCCAUAAAGCAUUAGAUUUGAGGUUCGACUUGCACUGAAUACAAACAAUUUGAUUUGGGAGCCACCCCAGGUUAAUCUAAAAAAUACAUACAUUACACUAAUUUACCCUGUUCCUAGAAUUUGACUUUUUUUUUCUUUCUUGGCCUUGUGGCUAAAAAUCAAGCGUAGUACAUGUUCUUAUCAGU
Long non-coding RNA from Cornus florida, 2810 nucleotides. RefSeq lists it as uncharacterized. NCBI's taxonomy places the organism in Eukaryota, Viridiplantae, Streptophyta, Magnoliopsida, Cornales, Cornaceae. The transcript has 4 exons. The record is from RefSeq and is a predicted model, not a curated record.